GGGGAUGUUUUGGGAUUCGACAGGCGUAGAUUCGCAUUGACUGCAAUUCGUAGGUCACGUCUACGUAAAAACGUCACAGUUAAAUAUAACUGCAAAUAACGAAAAUUCUUACGCAGUAGCUGCUUAGUCAGCCUGUGUGAUCUGAUGACGGUUUGCUCAUGGCUGUUAUCGGGUUUUACCUUUAAUGAGCUACGUUUAACUACCUCAUCUGAAUAGUUAAAAAGAAGAAUCUCAGGUAUGUCUUAAUAUGUUUGCCCUGUUAUAUGGCGCAAUGUUUUGACGAGAUUAAAUAAUAUAACUAUGAUUGUAGAGGUUAAUGACGAAAUGCGUUUGGACAGGGGUUCAAUUCCCCUCAUCUCCACUA
Lactobacillus hominis is the source of this 364-nucleotide non-coding RNA. The record is from Rfam. Lineage: Bacteria; Bacillati; Bacillota; Bacilli; Lactobacillales; Lactobacillaceae.